AACGAACGCUGGCGGCAGGCCUAAACAUGCAAGUCGAGCGGGCAUAGCAAUAUGUCAGCGGCGGACGGGUGAAUAACACGUGGGAACAUGCCCUUUGGUACGGAACAACUCAGGGAAACUUGAGCUAAUACCGUAUGUGCCGGUAACGGGAAAGAUUUAUCGCCAAAGGAUUGGCCCGCGUCCGAUUAGCUAGUUGGUGAGGUAACGGCUCACCAAGGCGACGAUCGGUAGCUGGUUUGAGAGAACGAUCAGCCACACUGGGACUGAGACACGGCCCAGACU
Molecule: ribosomal RNA, 282 nt
Filed under: uncultured bacterium
Lineage: Bacteria
Description: partial 16S ribosomal RNA
Rfam family: Bacterial small subunit ribosomal RNA
Source: RNAcentral